UCAUCCCGGGUCGGCCGAGGGUCGCUGGUCUUCUAACCCUAACUGAUGGAGGCGUAGGUGCUGUGCUUUAGUUCCCCGCGCGUUGUUUUUCUCGCUGACUUUCAGCGGGCGGGAAAAGCCUCGGCCUACCGCCGUCUACCGGUAGUCUGCAGCAAACCAAAAAAUGUCAGCCGCUGGCCGCUCGCCCCUCCCGGGAGCCUGCUCUGGCUUGGCCGCCCACUUCCGCGCCCGCCUGGAGGCCGCGGUCGGCCCGGGGCUUCUCCGGAGGUUCCCAUUGCCGCUGCGAAGAGCUGGGCUCUGUCAGCCGCGGGUCCCGCGGGAACCAGGGGCGAGGCUAGGGCCUAACGCAGGAAGAGAAACGGAGCGGUGCCCCGCGUGCGUGCGCUUCCCUGAGUGGUGGGGUUGGCGCCUGGGACCCAGCUCCUACAGAU
This 431-nucleotide telomerase RNA is filed under the name Procavia capensis (Cape rock hyrax). RNAcentral's name for it is "Vertebrate telomerase RNA (ENSPCAG00000019117.1)". It matches the Rfam family "Vertebrate telomerase RNA". From Rfam's summary of the family: Telomerase is a ribonucleoprotein reverse transcriptase that synthesises telomeric DNA. Telomerase RNAs differ greatly in sequence and structure between vertebrates, ciliates and yeasts, but they share a 5' pseudoknot structure close to the template sequence. The record is from RNAcentral. Lineage: Eukaryota; Metazoa; Chordata; Mammalia; Hyracoidea; Procaviidae.